RNAcentral lists this non-coding RNA (28 nucleotides) under Bombyx mori (domestic silkworm). Lineage: Eukaryota; Metazoa; Arthropoda; Insecta; Lepidoptera; Bombycidae. The record is from RNAcentral.
UCACGCGUCAGCUUGCUGUGCUUACUGC